Non-coding RNA from Pelobates cultripes (western spadefoot toad), 211 nucleotides. Lineage: Eukaryota; Metazoa; Chordata; Amphibia; Anura; Pelobatidae. The record is from the annotation of a GenBank genome assembly.
GGGAGUGAGGGAAGGAGGAGAGGACCGGCAGAGCUCUAACCAGCAGCUCCGCUGGGUCCUCUCGCGGGAUUCUGAGCCAGCCUUUUACCCUGUGACUAUGGCCCCUGCAACAGAACUGGUUAAUAUACUUUAAACAGGCUCUGUUCAUGCAAUUGGGACUAUAUGGUUAGUUUACCGAACAACCGCACGAACAGAGAUCACCCUGGAGCUU